UACGUAGGGCGCAAGCGUUGUCCGGAAUUACUGGGCGUAAAGCGCACGUAGGCGGACUUGUAAGUCAGGGGUGAAAUCCCGGGGCUCAACCUCGGAACUGCCUUUGAUACUGCGAGUCUCGAGUCCGAUAGAGGUGGGUGGAAUUCCUGGUGUAGCGGUGAAAUGCGUAGAUAUCAGGAGGAACACCUGCGGUGUAGACGGCUUACUGGACGGUAACUGACGCUGAGGCACGAAAGCGUGGGUAGCAAACAGG
RNAcentral lists this ribosomal RNA (253 nucleotides) under uncultured bacterium. RNAcentral describes it as "partial 16S ribosomal RNA". It matches the Rfam family "Bacterial small subunit ribosomal RNA", at positions 524 to 776 of the family's 1533-position model. The record is from RNAcentral.